This 82-nucleotide transfer RNA is filed under the name Leptolyngbya sp. LCM1.Bin17. RNAcentral's name for it is "tRNA-Ser". It matches the Rfam family "tRNA". Rfam says of the family: Transfer RNA (tRNA) molecules are approximately 80 nucleotides in length. Their secondary structure includes four short double-helical elements and three loops (D, anti-codon, and T loops). Lineage: Bacteria; Bacillati; Cyanobacteriota; Cyanophyceae; Leptolyngbyales; Leptolyngbyaceae. The record is from RNAcentral.
GAGAGGUGGCAGAGUGGUCGAAUGCGCCCGACUUGAAAUCGGGUGUGCCGAAAGGCACCGAGGGUUCGAAUCCCUCCCUCUC